ACUCCUACGGGAGGCAGCAGUGGGGAAUAUUGCACAAUGGGCGCAAGCCUGAUGCAGCCAUGCCGCGUGUGUGAAGAAGGCCUUCGGGUUGUAAAGCACUUUCAGUCGUGAGGAAGGUAGUGUAGUUAAUAGCUGCAUUAUUUGACGUUAGCGACAGAAGAAGCACCGGCUAACUCCGUGCCAGCAGCCGCGGUAAUACGGAGGGUGCGAGCGUUAUCCGGAAUUAUUGGGUUUAAAGGGUCCGUAGGCGGGCCGGUAAGUCAGGGGUGAAAGUCUGUAGCUCAACUAUAGAACUGCCUUUGAUACUGCCGGUCUUGAGUCACGGUGAAGUUGCCGGAAUAUGUGGUGUAGCGGUGAAAUGCAUAGAUAUCACAUAGAACACCGAUUGCGAAGGCAGGUGACUAACCGUGUACUGACGCUGAUGGACGAAAGCGUGGGGGAGCGAACAGGAUUAGAUACCCUGGUAGGCUCUGCU
RNAcentral lists this ribosomal RNA (475 nucleotides) under uncultured bacterium. RNAcentral describes it as "bacterial SSU rRNA". It matches the Rfam family "Bacterial small subunit ribosomal RNA", at positions 335 to 801 of the family's 1533-position model. The record is from RNAcentral.